RNAcentral lists this ribosomal RNA (460 nucleotides) under uncultured bacterium. Its description in RNAcentral is "partial 16S ribosomal RNA". It matches the Rfam family "Bacterial small subunit ribosomal RNA", at positions 338 to 795 of the family's 1533-position model. The record is from RNAcentral.
CCUACGGGUGGCAGCAGUGAGGAAUAUUGGUCAAUGGCCGGAAGGCUGAACCAGCCAUGCCGCGUGAAGGAUGACUGCCCUACGGGUUGUAAACUUCUUCUUUAAAGGAAUAAAGUGAGGCACGUGUGCCUUUUUGUACGUAUUUUAUGAAUAAGGAUCGGCUAACUCCGUGCCAGCAGCCGCGGUAAUACGGAGGAUCCGAGCGUUAUCCGGAUUUAUUGGGUGUAAAGGGAGCGUAGAUGGGUUGUUAAGUCAGUUGUGAAAGUUUGCGGCUCAACCGAUAAAUUGCAAUUGAUACUGGCUGCCUUGAGUACAGGUGAGGAAGGCGGAAUUCGUGGUGUAGCGGUGAAAUGCUUAGAUAUCACGAAGAACUCCGAUUGCGAAGGCAGCCUACUAAACUGCCACUGACAUUGAUGCUCGAAAGUGUGGGGAUCAAACAGGAUUAGAUACCCGAGUAGUC